UCGGCUGCGGCGGGGAACGCGUCGGGGGCCGUGGGCUCCGGGGGCGCUGCCGAAGGCGCCGGUCCUGGUCGCUCGGAGCCGUCCGGCCGGGC
This 92-nucleotide transfer RNA is filed under the name Streptomyces xanthochromogenes. Its description in RNAcentral is "tRNA-His". Lineage: Bacteria; Bacillati; Actinomycetota; Actinomycetes; Kitasatosporales; Streptomycetaceae. The record is from RNAcentral.